GGGUUGUGAGGUUAAGCGACUAAGCGUACACGGUGGAUGCCCUGGCAGUCAGAGGCGAUGAAGGACGUGCUAAUCUGCGAUAAGCGUCGGUAAGGUGAUAUGAACCGUUAUAACCGGCGAUUUCCGAAUGGGGAAACCCAGUGUGUUUCGACACACUAUCAUUAACUGAAUCCAUAGGUUAAUGAGGCGAACCGGGGGAACUGAAACAUCUAAGUACCCCGAGGAAAAGAAAUCAACCGAGAUUCCCCCAGUAGCGGCGAGCGAACGGGGAGCAGCCCAGAGCCUGAAUCAGUGUGUGUGUUAGUGGAAGCGUCUGGAAAGGCGCGCGAUACAGGGUGACAGCCCCGUACACAAAAAU
This 358-nucleotide ribosomal RNA is filed under the name Escherichia coli. Its description in RNAcentral is "bacterial LSU rRNA". It matches the Rfam family "Bacterial large subunit ribosomal RNA", at positions 1 to 386 of the family's 2925-position model. Lineage: Bacteria; Pseudomonadati; Pseudomonadota; Gammaproteobacteria; Enterobacterales; Enterobacteriaceae. RNAcentral also lists the same sequence under 2 other names. The record is from RNAcentral.